UACGGAGGUGGCAAGCGUUGUUCGGAAUUACUGGGCGUAAAGGGCGCGUAGGCGGACAGUUUAGUCAGAGGUGAAAGCCCAGGGCUCAACCUUGGAAUUGCCUUUGAUACUGACUGUCUUGAGUUCGGGAGAGGUGAGUGGAAUGCCGAGUGUAGAGGUGAAAUUCGUAGAUAUUCGGCGGAACACCAGUGGCGAAGGCGACUCACUGGCCCGAUACUGACGCUGAGGCGCGAAAGCGUGGGGAGCAAACAGG
Molecule: ribosomal RNA, 253 nt
Filed under: uncultured bacterium
Lineage: Bacteria
Description: partial 16S ribosomal RNA
Rfam family: Bacterial small subunit ribosomal RNA
Source: RNAcentral